This 209-nucleotide unclassified non-coding RNA is filed under the name Hevea brasiliensis (rubber tree). The record is from RNAcentral. Lineage: Eukaryota; Viridiplantae; Streptophyta; Magnoliopsida; Malpighiales; Euphorbiaceae.
CGCGAGACUCUUUCAAGUAAAUUGCACUACGCCCUAAGGAAGGGGAAGCCUUCUCCAACUCAGAUUUCAGACCAUGCUUUAGUCCUUCAUGCAAAUGAUUCACCUCCUGUGAUAUGUGGCAUUUAAGUGAAUAAACUGAUNNNNNNNCUUCACCACUCUCUUGGCAAUGGAUCCUGCUUACAAGUUCAAUUCCAAAAAGUGCCUUCACA